Molecule: ribosomal RNA, 405 nt
Filed under: uncultured Thecofilosea
Lineage: Eukaryota; Cercozoa; Thecofilosea
Description: partial small subunit ribosomal RNA
Rfam family: Eukaryotic small subunit ribosomal RNA
Source: RNAcentral
GCUUGUCUCAAAGAUUAAGCCAUGCAUGUCUAAGUAUAAACAAAUCUAUACGUGAAACUGCGAAUGGCUCAUUAUAUCAGUUAUAGUUUAUUUGAUGGUUCAUACUACUUGGAUAACCGUAGUAAUUCUAGAGCUAAUACAUGCGUAAAAUCCCGACUCUCGCGGGGAGGGAUGUAUUUAUUAGAUAAAAAACCAAUGCGGGGCAACCCGGUUUUGUGGUGAAUCAUAGUAACUUUUCGGAUCGCAUAGCUUCACGCUGGCGAUAGUUCAUUCAAAUUUCUGCCCUAUCAGCUUUCGACGGUAGUGUAGUGGACUACCGUGGCGUUAACGGGUGACGGAGAAUUAGGGUUCGAUUCCGGAGAGGGAGCCUGAGAAACGGCUACCACAUCCAAGGAAGGCAGCAGG